UACGAAGGGUGCAAGCGUUAAUCGGAAUUACUGGGCGUAAAGCGCGCGUAGGUGGUUCAGUAAGUUGGAAGUGAAAUCCCCGGGCUCAACCUGGGAACUGCUUUCAAAACUGCUGAGCUAGAGUACGGUAGAGGGUGGUGGAAUUUCCUGUGUAGCGGUGAAAUGCGUAGAUAUAGGAAGGAACACCAGUGGCGAAGGCGACCACCUGGACUGAUACUGACACUGAGGUGCGAAAGCGUGGGGAGCAAACCGG
Molecule: ribosomal RNA, 253 nt
Filed under: uncultured bacterium
Lineage: Bacteria
Description: partial 16S ribosomal RNA
Rfam family: Bacterial small subunit ribosomal RNA
Source: RNAcentral